This 2683-nucleotide ribosomal RNA is filed under the name Triticum aestivum (bread wheat). RNAcentral's name for it is "partial small subunit ribosomal RNA". Lineage: Eukaryota; Viridiplantae; Streptophyta; Magnoliopsida; Poales; Poaceae. The record is from RNAcentral.
AGGAGGCUCCCGUGGCCCGCCUGCCCGGCGCCCCGGCGGCAGUCCUGCCCACCGGCGUGCAGGAGGCAGCAGGGGGAGGGCGGAGGGGCUCACCGGCUCACCGUCAAGCCACAGUGGCGGAUCUGUCCUCAAGCCACAGCCGCGGACGCCGAGGUCGUUGACGCCGGGCAGGGGAGGUCACGGGGCACGUCUCGGCCUUGUUCCCGACGCCGACAACCUCAAUCUCCAACCCUAAGAUUUUGCCUAGCUGGCGCCUGGUAACAUGACACCAACGGUCCUCAUGGAGUAUAGGCCGCAGAUGCAGAUUAAACGGAGCUACGUUGAAAUAGCUUACCGGGGCAUGGGGUAUGCAGAGACUGUAGGUGGGUCGGGCAGCCCUGUUCGUGUUGACUCUGAAGAUUCAUCUGCGCCAAAAUGCAAGUGCAUCAGCCUUAAUAGCGAUGGCUUUGAUGUGAAGCAAGAGAUCUUUGUCCCGUCUAAGUUGUCGUCGUCUGAGCGGCGCUACCUUCGAAAGAGAUUCCGGGCAGAGCUUGGUUCUGUCAUGUAUCUCCUCAAGAGGCCAGAGUUUUUUUCCAUCAUGCCUGUCAGCCGAGCACCAUCCGACGCUUGACUGUAUAUUAUCAUGCUUAUCAAGUUCUUUCCUUAUGUCAAUUUUACAGAUAAAUUCAUUUGUGUCAAGUAUCGCUUUUUUCCAUAUGAACAUGACAAGUUGUCAUAUAUUGGCUUGUCAAAUCUAUCGGGUGCCAAGUUCACUUGAAAUAUUCUUAAUUCUGUUUCUUCUGAUUUUGGUGUUGGUGUAUGUAUUGUUAGUGAAAAUAUGCUCACAGUUUUUUUUUUUGAACUAUGUGUAUACCAUUAACUGAUGUCAUUAUGUUUUCCAGGGGUAUAUGGACCAGAAAUGAUGUGAUAUACUUGGUUAUUUGAACAUGAAGGUCAACCAUGGGGAGGCGCGACAUGGCGUGGCCUCAGCCCAUUAGGUGUCCUCUCUUUUUGCCUAUUGUUUCCUCUGGAACUCUGAUUUUGUUUGGCUUAUGAAGGCACAUUCAUCCUGCAAGUACAAUCAUGAUUAAGAUUUAGAACGCCCUGCACGCCGGUUUACUUUCUUUCGUACAUUGAUUGCUAUUUUUUAUGCCUUAUAUCCUACGCCUCAUCACACAAUAGUUUGGUAAAGAAAGAGUGAACCCACUCAUGAAUUUGCACUAAUUAUAUAUUUAUGUCACUAUUAAUAAUUUGUAUUUACUUUAUCUGCUCUCGUGAGUUCGUCGAGUUCCUUUCUCAAUGUGCUUAGAUGCUUGUGCAACAGCAGAAGUAAUUGUUGAUUGGCUUAGCCUUUGUGUCGGUUUCAUAUGUAUAUAUGUCAUUGGCCUAGCUAACAUCACGUGUCAGUAAUUUGUGCUUUCUUUCUUUGGGAUAAUUAUGCCUAGCUGGAAACAGAGAGGAGUCAGGUAGCCUGCUACUGUUCCUUUUGUUUGCUACUGUUCCUUUUGUUUUCUAAAGUGUCCCUUCAAUUAAUCCAGUAACCUGACAUUACUUUGUGUUUAACUAAUAUCAUUCUUAUCACAGUGAGUAUUAUAUUAUUCAGUUAGCCUCCUUUUCGUCGAAGAGGCGUGAAAGUGUAGAGGGUAGAAAUGGUAAUUGAAUGGGUGUUCUCUUUUUACGCAAGCAUUCUCCUCCUUAUCUUGCUAUUUAUGCAUCUCCGUAUUUCAUUGGUAUUCUUCCGAUUUGCAGUGAUUAUAGGAAGCGCAUACAUGGGUGAGUUGAAAUUGUUCUACUGAUUCCUCGAUGCUCUGUUCAUGGCUUUGUUCUUAUUUUAUCCUUCUUUCUUUUCUUUGUUCUUUCCUACAAGAAGAUGCCGAGUCGUGCAAUAUGUUCAAAGAAGAGAGAAUCUGCAUUUUAUGAAUGUUUUCUUCUUUCUUCAUUGUUACCUCGAGUUAGUGAAUUCAGUUAAGUUGUACUGAGCAGCUAAUGCACAUCUUAUUCAGUCACGAGGCCAUUAAGAUCUUUUUGACUUUUACUAAAAGGGAGAUGCCAUUUAGACCUUGCCCUGUCCAACUUGAUCUUUAACUUGCUACUACUGUUUGUAAGCAUUUUCCCAAGCACUGUUUUAUUUGCUUCAGUGAAUCAGGUCACCUUAUUCAGUGGAUGUUCCAAGUAAAAAAAUUAGAAACUGAGCAAUUAGUUCCACUCUUGAAUUUUGUACAACAGUCCAAAUUAUCCAAUAAAUCAUUUGUUAGCAGGGUCUACUUAUAGAAGUUGAAUCAGUUGUUCCAAAUUACCAGUCGAAUGCUGUACAACACAGUGAACUGUUCCAUUCUUAGACGUUGAGCUGAAAUUUCCUUAAUCUGGUUUCUCAUCGUCGGCUGCCCCUCGAGCUAAAAAUGUUCAACGGGGGAGCCAUGUUCUCCGUGGUGCCAAGGGACGCUUCUUGCCGACAAAACCCUGGCCCGAAAUAUCUACAGUGUUGCCUGAAGCUACAAUUCUGAAGCAGUGCGAAGCUAUUCUGAAGAAGCUGAAAUUUAGUCAUAUUUUUAAUGUUCCAGUAGAUGUGGAAAGGCUGAAUAUUCCAGAUUAUAAUGAAAUUAUCAAGCACCUGAUGGACCUUGGGACCAUCAAGAAGAAGCUAGAUUCUGGUUCCUACCAAAGUUUUGGAUUUCGUCCGAGAAAACCAAAAUUCCAGCGAUUU